This 1827-nucleotide long non-coding RNA is filed under the name Canis lupus familiaris (dog). Its description in RNAcentral is "lncRNA (ENSCAFG00845021341.1)". The record is from RNAcentral. Lineage: Eukaryota; Metazoa; Chordata; Mammalia; Carnivora; Canidae.
UUUUUUUUUUUUUUUUUUUUUUUUUGUGAUAGUCACAGAGAGAGAGAGAAUGAGGCAGAGGGAGAAGCAGGCUCCAUGCACCGGGAGCCCGACGUGGGAUUCGAUCCCGGGUCUCCAGGAUCGCGCCCUGGGCCAAAGGCAGGCGCCAAACCGCUGCGUCACCCAGGGAUCCCCAUGAUCGCUUUUAAAUUAGGACUCGGGAGAGGAUCCAGUGAAAAGUCAGGGUGUAGGGGAAACAGAGUUACGGAAAAGUAGCAGGUGUAUUGAGGGAGGUAGUGCAGACCCUGUGCAACUAAGAAUGAGGUGCUGGGAGAGAUAGUGGCAGGUGGCACAGAGGAGCAGCCUGUCCCGCAGCUUCAUGGGGUAGCUCACAAAGGUUUACCAGACAGUUCAGAAACAUUCAAGAUAUUUUUGUGCCCCUAGUCUGCCUACUCAAGGACAGACUGUCCAGAGUGACUGCUACCAGCUAAUCAGAUAACCCAUAAAAACUGUACAAACAGGGAUGCCUGGGUGGCCCCCUGGUUGAGCACCUGCCUUUGGCUCGGGGCGUGGUCCUGGAGUUCUGGGAUCGAGUCCCACAUCAGGCUCCCUGCAUGGAGCCUGCUUCUCCCUCUGCCUGUGUCUCUGCCUCUCUCUGUCUCUCUCAUGAAUAAAUAAGAUUUUUUUAAAAAAUUAAAAAAAAAAUGUACAAACAAGAUGCACUCUUCUCAGACUACAAUUAUUUUUCUCUCCUUUUUUCCCCCGUUUUAAUAAAUCCUGUUUUGCCUCUGUGGGGUGAAAUCCAUUUACUAAUUUAUCCUCUUUGUAAAUAAGUAAACAUUGUGCUAUAAUUUAGUGUAUUUGUGACUUUGGGUUAUACUUUGACACUGCUCUGCCUUGUUUCCUUUCUUAAAGAAUCCAUACAAGAAAGGUAGCAUUUGCUAUUUGCAACAGAAAAUUAGAAAGUUACUUAAAACUACUGCUACCUCUGAACCUUUUUUCUUUUGUUGCAUAUACAAAGGACUUUUAUCUCCACUGCUUGAAGCAUCCCCAUCCCUAGCUUUGAUUGUUCCUGUCAAGGGGAUCAUUUUCCACCAAUAAUAACCUGCCCAUCCUUGAAACUCCAUUCAAGCUUACCUCAUGUAGAUUGCAUUAGCAUUUUAAUGCAUUUAAUAAUCCUAAACAAGGACCCAGGAUCACAGGGUUGACUCCCUCAUGAUGGAGACAUAUAUUAAUUGCCAGACUGCCUCCUCCCAUCUCCUAUGCAUGACCUUCCCUUAUCACCUUACCGUUCUAACAGUCCUCAAUUUCUAUAGCUCCUAUGACCUUUACCGUGCAAAUUAGAAUUUACCUUCUAUCUUUAACUUUCUUGGUUGUUUUAUGCAGAUUAGUCUCCUCAUGCCAAGUAGGCAAGGAUGGCUGCAUCCUUGGCAUCUACUAUAGUAGGCCAGUGACUAUCUCAUUGGAGAUUGUAAUGAAUUUGAUUACUUGAGUUAAAUGAAAAAUGUAAAAGAUUUAACCAAAAUGAAUAGUAUGACUAUGCUAGUAUUUCAUUUUGAGUUGAGUGGAUUAUGUAUUAUAGGUAUGAAUCAUUUUGUUUGCAUAUUAGAAUAUAGGAUUUGGAGUACAUGACAAAGCCUGUUCUGUUGGCAGUUGACAUCGGCCUCACUACAGAGCAAAAGGUAUGUCAGUAACAUGACCAUAUGGAAAAAUACUCGCAAGAAAUGCCAUGAAAAUCCAGGAGGGGGGCAGCCCAGGUGGCUCAGCAGUUUAGUGCUGCUUUCAGCCCAGGGCCAGAUCCUGGAGACCCGGGAUCGAGUCCCACGUCGGGCUUCCUGUGUGGAGCCU